GUUUAACCGGUCCCACAGGAGGAAGUGAGGCACGGCCGGUGACACAGGCAGGGAACAAACUUCACGCCGUCCCAGCCGAAGGGAUGGGUGGGUGCCAGCGCCCGACCCUGGGUAGAGCUCGGCUGGGCUGCGCAGCCGGGACGUGAGGGGGCUGCUCUUCCAGGUGUUCAACCACCCAGGUGAGCUGGUGGCACCAGUUUUCCCGUUGUAAUGACACGUGGGAGCGCGAAGAUCCUGGCACCGGUUUGGUUUUCCCCCUGUCACGACAAGGCAGCCUCAGCCUGAGGGAAGAGCAGAAGCUGCAGGAGCCACCACAGCUCUUGGAUGUCAACACCCCGUGGAGGUGAACAGCUCAACACCCCCAAAUGCAAAUGGAGACAAAGAUCCCUGGGAUUGCACAGCUGGGCUGGUCCUGCCAGCUGGGACAAAGCUGGCACCAGGCACAGAGCUGGAA
Molecule: long non-coding RNA, 454 nt
Organism: Pseudopipra pipra
Lineage: Eukaryota; Metazoa; Chordata; Aves; Passeriformes; Pipridae
Exons: 2
Source: RefSeq, a predicted model, not a curated record